RNAcentral lists this ribosomal RNA (406 nucleotides) under uncultured bacterium. RNAcentral describes it as "partial 16S ribosomal RNA". It matches the Rfam family "Bacterial small subunit ribosomal RNA", at positions 30 to 526 of the family's 1533-position model. The record is from RNAcentral.
AUUGAACGCUGGCGGCAGGCUUAACACAUGCAAGUCGAGCGAGAGGCGGACGGGUGAGUAAUGUCUGGGAAACUGCCCGCUGGCGGGGGAUAUCUCCUGUAAAAGGUAGCUAUUACAGCAUACCAUCAGAUGUGCCCAGAUGGGAUUAGCUAGUAGGUGGGGUAAUGGCUCACCUAGGCGCCGCUCCCUAGCUGGGCUGAGAGGAUGACCAGCCACACUGGAACUGAGACACGGUCCAGACUCCUACGGUAGGCAGCAGUGGGGAAUAUUGCACAAUGGGCGCAAGCCUGAUGCAGCCAUGCCGCGUGUGUGAAGAAGGCCUUCGGGUUGUAAAGCACUUUCAGCGAGGAGGCGUUACUCGCAGAAGAAGCACCGGCUAACUCCGUGCCAGCCGCCGCGGUAAUAC